RNAcentral lists this long non-coding RNA (1263 nucleotides) under Homo sapiens (human). RNAcentral describes it as "HSALNT0293642". The record is from RNAcentral. Lineage: Eukaryota; Metazoa; Chordata; Mammalia; Primates; Hominidae.
UGUGAAGAUUCUCAGAAGUGUUGAAGACAGAACUGAAUUUAUGUACUACAUAAACUAGGCAUCAAUAUAUGAAGAAUCUCAUAAGAAAUAGCAUGCAAUUUUGAAUGCAAGUAAACCAAGACCUGCAUACUUUCCAUUACUUCUACCUUCCUGUGACCACCUGGUCAAAAGUUUAUGUUGCCUUCCUAUCUGGAUUGAUUUCUCAGUUCCUCAGUUUACGCAGCACCCUCCCUCCCACCCUACAUUGCCUAUGGGCCCUUUAACAGACGACUACAGACAUCGUGAAAGAGAGACAGAAUCAGCAGAGGAUGAGGUUCUGAUACGGGAAUUUUUUCGGAAGUUAGAAAGAAGGAGCCUAGAGAGAAAAUGGAAAUCAUGCAACUCGUCUCUUAUGAGAGUGUGUUGUGCAACAUAAAGCUUGUUUUAAAGAAUUGGGGUACCUUCCUCAGGACUGUGUGAAAGAUCUAAGCAACUUUGCCAGCAUACUUUCAGGGAACGUGUUUCUGAACCACAAGUACACAAAACAGACCUUGAAACGCUUACCCUUUCCUGUAACCAGGGGCAGAAUGGAAUUUGCCCUCUUGUCUGCACUGUGUGACUGUCAGAAUGACUCAUUUUCUUUGAUCCUGUGUUUUCUGGCAUUUGGACAGUGUACCCCAAGAAGUUAAAAUCAUCAUCCUUGCUUGGCGCUCUGUGGCAGCUGCCUGCCUGGUGGCUUCUGGUAGUUCCGUGAAACGUGUGGGCAGAAGAACAGAAGGGCUGAGGAAGGAAUAGAGUGACUGGAAUAGCAUUCGCCGGCAGAAUGUUUGUAGCUGAAGGUGGAGCAUAUCCAGAGGACACUGUUAGGAAUAUUUUAAAAUCACAGGUGCACUUCUGCUCCAUGCAAUUUAAAGGCACACAGCAAAUGCAAUUUGUAUAACUGUUUCACAAAGUGGCUAGAUGGCUUCCUUAUUUCUAAAUUGGAGUUCUUGUGGGCCCUCUGUAGGCAAAGGGAAGGUAAGCUGGGUCUCAUUCUUGCAAGAAUGAGUGAGUCUAAAGCAACUCUGUUUCUCCAGCACCUGGAAAGAGCCUGUAGGAACUCAAGAAAGGUUUUUUGAAGAAAUGAAUAAAUAGAAAUGUCAUGUUUUCCCACUUGAGGCUAACUCAAUUGUGUAGAAAUUUUUACUCAUGCCUGUUAACCCCACCACAGUUACUUGGUUCAGCUGUGAGGCAGGACGUGAUUGCUUCAUGCAUAGGUGGAUUCUGAGCGACUUUCAGAGGCGA